RNAcentral lists this ribosomal RNA (305 nucleotides) under uncultured bacterium. Its description in RNAcentral is "bacterial SSU rRNA". It matches the Rfam family "Bacterial small subunit ribosomal RNA", at positions 333 to 652 of the family's 1533-position model. The record is from RNAcentral.
UGCUUCCUACGGGGCGCAGCAGUAGGGAAUUUUCGUCAAUGGGCGCAAGCCUGACCCAGCAACGCCGCGUGAAGGAAAAAGGCUCUCGGGUUGUAAACUUCUUUUAUCAGGGACGAAGCAAGUGACGGUACCUGAUGAAUAAGCCACGGCUAACUACGUGCCAGCAGCCGCGGUAAUACGUAGGUGGCAAGCGUUAUCCGGAUUUACUGGGUGUAAAGGGCGUGUAGGCGGGAAAGCAAGUCAGAUGUGAAAACCAUGGGCUCAACCUGUGGCCUGCAUUUGAAACUGUUUUUCUUGAGUACUGG